UAUAAGAUGACAGUCUAUAUUUACAUAGAUUUGUAUUCAAAUUUUAUGUUUUCUUAGAGUUAAGGAUAGAUAUGGGAUGCACCCUAUACAUGUAGUCAACUUAUAUGUUAACCAAGCAUUGAACAUCAAUUUAUAUAGUAUUAAUGAUAAUAGAGUUAAAGACUUAAAUUCAGCUUAGUAUGUUUUCUUAUUUUAGUUAAUUCUUUUUCUUUUAGAAAAGCUUUUUCUAUACUAACAGUGGUGGGUGCUUUCAGUAUCUAAAUCACUAUCAGCAGAAGUACAUAAUUCAAGGUUCACCCCAUUAUGUACAAGAACAAAUAUAGUGGAGGUCAUAGUUCUCUAUGAAUUUUAACAGCAAAGCUGCAAAGGCUUCUUGAUAGUGCAAUAUGAAGACAAGAUCCAUGGAUGUGAAGAAUUCCACUAAGAAAACUAUUAGAAGGAAUCACGAAUAAGUGCAUGUGAAGUUGGUGAUCGUGCCAUUACAAUGUUAGAUGAUCUUAAUCAUAGGAAAAGGUUCUUUUUCUCUGGUGUGUGUUAUUAUCUAUGACUAUUAACAAGUUUUAUGGUCAAACAUAUGGGACUAUACUUGCCAUAGCAUUUUUUA
Non-coding RNA from Arachis ipaensis, 604 nucleotides. The record is from RefSeq and is a predicted model, not a curated record. NCBI's taxonomy places the organism in Eukaryota, Viridiplantae, Streptophyta, Magnoliopsida, Fabales, Fabaceae.